RNAcentral lists this ribosomal RNA (253 nucleotides) under uncultured bacterium. RNAcentral's name for it is "partial 16S ribosomal RNA". It matches the Rfam family "Bacterial small subunit ribosomal RNA", at positions 524 to 776 of the family's 1533-position model. The record is from RNAcentral.
UACAGAGGUCUCAAGCGUUGUUCGGAUUCAUUGGGCGUAAAGGGUGUGUAGGUGGCGCGCUAAGUCGGGUGUGAAAUUUCGGAGCUUAACUCCGAAACUGCAUUCGAUACUGGCGUGCUUGAGGACUGGAGAGGAGACUGGAAUUUACGGUGUAGCAGUGAAAUGCGUAGAUAUCAUGAGGAAGACCAGUGGCGAAGGCGGGUCUCUGGACAGUUCCUGACACUGAGGCACGAAGGCCAGGGGAGCAAACGGG